GAGUGACCUGCCCAGUUGUGGGGGAUAGCCUCUCGAAAGAGGGGGUAAUACCGCGUAAGCUGGCUUGAGUAGAGGCAAGUCAGGAAAGCAGAGAUGCGCGACUGGAGGGGCUCGCGGCCCAUCAGGUAGUUGGUGAGGUAAGGGCUCACCAAGCCGAUGACGGGUAGCUGGUCUGAGAGGAUGAUCAGCCAGACUGGGACUGAGAGACGGCCCAGACUCCUACGGGGGGCAGCAGGGGGGAAUCUUGCACAAUGGGCGGAAGCCUGAUGCAGCGACGCCGCGUGGAGGACGAAGGUCUUCGGAUCGUAAACUCCUUUUGUCGGGGAAGAUGGUGACGGUACCCGACGAAUAAGCCCCGGCUAACUACGUGCCAGCAGCCGCGGUAAUACGUAGGGGGCGAGCGUUGUCCGGAUUUACUGGGCGUAAAGAGCGCGUAGGCGGCCCUUUAAGUUGGCUGUGAAAGGUCCCGGCGUAACUGGGAUAGGUCGGCCGAGACUGGGGGGCUUGAGGACGGUAGAGGAAGGUGGAAUUCCGGGUGUAGUGGUGAAAUGCGUAGAGAUCCGGAGGAACACCAGUGGCGAAGGCGGCCUUCUGGGCCGUUACUGACGCUGAGGCGCGAAAGCGUGGGGAGCGAACUGAAUUAGAUACUCAGGUAGUCCACGCCCUAAACGAUGGACGCUAGGUGUAGGGGGUAUCGACCCCUCCUGUGCCGAAGCCAACGCAUUAAGCGUCCCGCCUGGGGAGUACGGCCGCAAGGCUAAAACUCAA
Molecule: ribosomal RNA, 768 nt
Filed under: uncultured archaeon
Lineage: Archaea
Description: bacterial SSU rRNA
Rfam family: Bacterial small subunit ribosomal RNA
Source: RNAcentral